RNAcentral lists this ribosomal RNA (498 nucleotides) under uncultured bacterium. RNAcentral's name for it is "partial 16S ribosomal RNA". It matches the Rfam family "Bacterial small subunit ribosomal RNA", at positions 27 to 507 of the family's 1533-position model. The record is from RNAcentral.
GGAUUAACGCUGGCGGCGUGCCUAAUACAUGCAAGUCGAGCGAACAGAUGAGGAGCUUGCUCCUCUGACGUUAGCGGCGGACGGGUGAGUAACACGUGGAUAACCUACCUAUAAGACUGGGAUAACUUCGGGAAACCGGAGCUAAUACCGGAUAAUAUAUUGAACCGCAUGGUUCAAUAGUGAAAGACGGUUUUGCUGUCACUUAUAGAUGGAUCCGCGCCGCAUUAGCUAGUUGGUAAGGUAACGGCUUACCAAGGCAACGAUGCGUAGCCGACCUGAGAGGGUGAUCGGCCACACUGGAACUGAGACACGGUCCAGACUCCUACGGGAGGCAGCAGUAGGGAAUCUUCCGCAAUGGGCGAAAGCCUGACGGAGCAACGCCGCGUGAGUGAUGAAGGUCUUCGGAUCGUAAAACUCUGUUAUUAGGGAAGAACAAAUGUGUAAGUAACUAUGCACGUCUUGACGGUACCUAAUCAGAAAGCCACGGCUAACUACGUG